Molecule: ribosomal RNA, 735 nt
Filed under: uncultured Fusobacterium sp.
Lineage: Bacteria; Fusobacteriati; Fusobacteriota; Fusobacteriia; Fusobacteriales; Fusobacteriaceae
Description: bacterial SSU rRNA
Rfam family: Bacterial small subunit ribosomal RNA
Source: RNAcentral
GAUGAACGCUGACAGAAUGCUUAACACAUGCAAGUCAAUUUGAAUUUGGGUUUUUAACUUAGGUUUGGGUGGCGGACGGGUGAGUAACGCGUAAAGAACUUGCCUCACAGCUAGGGACAACAUUUGGAAACGAAUGCUAAUACCUAAUAUUAUGAUAAUAGGGCAUCCUAUAAUUAUGAAAGCUAUAAGCGCUGUGAGAGAGCUUUGCGUCCCAUUAGCUAGUUGGAGAGGUAACGGCUCACCAAGGCGAUGAUGGGUAGCCGGCCUGAGAGGGUGAUCGGCCACAAGGGGACUGAGACACGGCCCUUACUCCUACGGGAGGCAGCAGUGGGGAAUAUUGGACAAUGGACCAAGAGUCUGAUCCAGCAAUUCUGUGUGCACGAUGAAGUUUUUCGGAAUGUAAAGUGCUUUAAGUUGGGAAGAAAGAAAUGACGGUACCAACAGAAGAAGUGACGGCUAAAUACGUGCCAGCAGCCGCGGUAAUACGUAUGUCACGAGCGUUAUCCGGAUUUAUUGGGCGUAAAGCGCGUCUAGGUGGUUAUGUAAGUCUGAUGUGAAAAUGCAGGGCUCAACUCUGUAUUGCGUUGGAAACUGUAUAACUAGAGUACUGGAGAGGUAAGCGGAACUACAAGUGUAGAGGUGAAAUUCGUAGAUAUUUGUAGGAAUGCCGAUGGGGAAGCCAGCUUACUGGACAGAUACUGACGCUGAAGCGCGAAAGCGUGGGUAGCAAACAGG